GUACACGCUGUGACUAGCAUAUCAAUAAGCGGAGGAAAAGAAACUAACAAGGAUUCCCUUAGUAACGGCGAGUGAAGCGGGAAGAGCUCAAAUUUGAAAUCUUAAAGGGUUUCCCUUUACGAAUUGUAGUUUAAAGAAGUGUUUUCUGUUGAGGUUUUGGUAAAAGUUCUUUGGAAUAGGGCAUCAUAGAGGGUGAGAAUCCCGUAUUUGACCUUUACUUUCAACUUUGUGAUACACUUUCAAAGAGUCGGAUUGUUUGGGAAUGCAGCCCAAAACGGGAGGUAAAUUUCUUCUAAGGCUAAAUAUUGGCGAGAGACCGAUAGCGAACAAGUACCGUGAGGGAAAGAUGAAAAGAACUUUGAAAAGAGAGUUAAACAGUACGUGAAAUUGUCAAAAGGGAAGCGUUUGACACCAGUGUUGUUUUUCUGAAAAUCAAUUAAAGAACUGUUUAUGCUAAGCUGUUUAGACUUUAUCAGCUAAUCUGUUUAGUUUUGAGCUUUUCUUUAAUGCACUUUUCAGUUAACAAGUCAACAUCAAUUUCUUUUAGCCUGUAAAAAAGUUAGAGAAGGUAGCUCAUGAGCUCCGUCUUAAGUGUUAUAGCUCUUUGCCUAUGCAGUAGGAGAGACUGAGGUCUGCAGCGUAGACUCCUUCGGGGUUAAAUAGCAUUUGUGCUAAGUUAUAGCAUUUUAUAGACAACUUGUUGACUAUGAUUAGUCUUGUAGCUUACUCGCUUAUGCUAUUUUACCUACGCUUAGGAUGUUGACGCAUGAGAUAUACGC
Molecule: ribosomal RNA, 779 nt
Filed under: uncultured Neocallimastigales
Lineage: Eukaryota; Fungi; Neocallimastigomycota; Neocallimastigomycetes; Neocallimastigales
Description: partial large subunit ribosomal RNA
Rfam family: Eukaryotic large subunit ribosomal RNA
Source: RNAcentral